Molecule: long non-coding RNA, 610 nt
Organism: Lagopus muta (rock ptarmigan)
Lineage: Eukaryota; Metazoa; Chordata; Aves; Galliformes; Phasianidae
Exons: 3
Source: RefSeq, a predicted model, not a curated record
AGCUAAGGCUCCUGCAGUAGUGGUUUUUUUAGCAGCUGAAUAAUUCCUAUUUGAUUGCAAGCCUGCAGAGGGAAGCUGGGGAAGAAAGGGUCAUGUAUAUGUGACUGAUAUCAAGAUCUGAAAGGUAAACACAGAAGGCACAACACUGCUUGAUCCCACCAGUCAGAAGAUAUAUAAAUAAAGUACAGAGUUUAAAGAAAAAUAAAUGAAAAAAAGAAAAAGAAAUUGUGUCUGUAUAAAGAAACAACAGGAACAGCCUGACUUUGAUCAUGUUUUCACAUUUGAAGUACCCAACCAAUGUGAAAUCCUCGUCAAUAUCAAUGCAGUGGAUCACUAAUCAGUACAGACUGGAGAAGUCCAGGAAAGUGCUCAAAAGCAGCAGGUACAAGCCCUGAUGGAAGCAAAUGAAGAAGAAAACUGAAGCAAAUGCAGAAGACUCAGCUGUUGGAUAAAUUGAAGACAAUCCUUCUAGAGACCUAAUACUAAGGUCUUCUUGUUGACUGCAGAUGACUCAGCUAUGGGAACCAUGGGAGAGAAAGUGAUGCUGGUCCCACGGCACGUUGGUUCAUGGCAUGGGGAAAGACUGAUGCAUGAGACUGAGAUUUUGCUG